RNAcentral lists this ribosomal RNA (414 nucleotides) under Halomonas smyrnensis. Its description in RNAcentral is "bacterial SSU rRNA". It matches the Rfam family "Bacterial small subunit ribosomal RNA", at positions 836 to 1250 of the family's 1533-position model. The record is from RNAcentral. Lineage: Bacteria; Pseudomonadati; Pseudomonadota; Gammaproteobacteria; Oceanospirillales; Halomonadaceae.
GACCUUUGUGGCGCAGUUAACGCGAUAAGUCGACCGCCUGGGGAGUACGGCCGCAAGGUUAAAACUCAAAUGAAUUGACGGGGGCCCGCACAAGCGGUGGAGCAUGUGGUUUAAUUCGAUGCAACGCGAAGAACCUUACCUACUCUUGACAUCGAGCGAACUUUCCAGAGAUGGAUUGGUGCCUUCGGGAACGCUCAGACAGGUGCUGCAUGGCCGUCGUCAGCUCGUGUUGUGAAAUGUUGGGUUAAGUCCCGUAACGAGCGCAACCCUUGUCCCUAUUUGCCAGCGAUUCGGUCGGGAACUCUAGGGAGACUGCCGGUGACAAACCGGAGGAAGGUGGGGACGACGUCAGGUCAUCAUGGCCCUUACGAGUAGGGCUACACACGUGCUACAAUGGCCGGUACAAUGGGCUGC